AUGUCUUGAAACAAUGAAUUUGAAAUAAGAGAAAAAGAAAAGAAGAAGAAAUAACGAAAGUUAGAUGAUUUUCUAGUCAAAUCUCUACAGAAUGAUUUCAAAACCACAAAUUGUUUUUGGGAAGUAGACAGUAAAGUCUUCAGCAGGGUGUCGCAAAGAUACCACAAAGAUGGUGUAGAUUCGCGCGACAAGCAUCGAUGCCAUGAGAGGGUUGCUUGUUUACAAGCGACAGUUGAUUUGACAAAGCCGUGGGUCCAUUUAUACGAGUGAAUAUUACAGGGCAAAGUCGAGGGGUGGCUUGUUAUCCGCUCAUUGAAGUUAACCACGGGGCUAAGUGCGCUGGGGAGUGCCGGUCGGUAGGAGCAAGGAGAACUAGUGACUAAAGGUUAGGUAUAUGUAUACCGACGGAGGGGAUAGCUUUGCAGUUUGUAGAGAGAAUCGGUGAAACUUCGUGAGAAACUGAGAGAGAAAAUUCAAACGGAGACAGAUACUAGCAUAGCGAAUAAGAAACAGAGAUGAAGCAACGAGGAAAGGAAAGAUAGACGAAAUACAACGAGUUGAAAAGAGAUAAAAAAGAAAAAGUGAAGUGAAAUAAAUCAAGAAAGAAAACAGAUAAUGAUGAAUGCGACUUAUUUGUGAUGUCCAUAUAUUUAAUAAAUGAUAUUUGUAAAAAUUGUUUAUAUAUUGAUGUUAAAAGAAUAUUCUGAAAUGAUUUAUGAUUACUAUGCCUAUUCUAUUGAUAAGCUUUGAAAUAAUAACCUUUGAAACGCUAAUGAAAUUAGUCCCAUCGCUAGAAGAGGGUGAUGGAACGAAAGAUGGAUAACAGCAGGGUGGCCUGGAAGAAGAUAGCGUAAGAGGGAACGUUUCGGGCUAGCUGUCUCGAUACCUCGAGAGGUACGAAGGACGCUUCGUUACUCGUUACCUGAUGCUGACGCUCGUUGCAAUAGCAAGGGAACAAUAGCGAGAUGAGAAAUAAGAAGGAGACGGAAAGAGAUAGCCAAAACGAGGACUGCUAUUGUUUCCGGUAACUCUUUCGCGGUAACGAGGAGGAACCUCAAUUAGAAUGGUUUGAGGACUUAAACGCCCAGAGGCUGCCGGGUUUUAAGAGGUAGCGAACAUUGUUUCUUUUGAGCGAUAACUCGGUGAUACUUUUAGCUAUAUCGCGAAACAUCGUGCACCAACUUCUUUGGUGGAUAAUUACUAGGCACGCUUGAGGGUAUGAUACUGUUACACUCUCUACGAAUAAGUCAUCGUUAAUGUUAUCAAAACUUUUCUUUUUAAUUGA
This 1285-nucleotide long non-coding RNA is filed under the name Apis dorsata (giant honeybee). RNAcentral describes it as "uncharacterized LOC102675040, transcript variant X4". Lineage: Eukaryota; Metazoa; Arthropoda; Insecta; Hymenoptera; Apidae. The record is from RNAcentral.